RNAcentral lists this transfer RNA (76 nucleotides) under Rhipicephalus sanguineus (brown dog tick). Its description in RNAcentral is "transfer RNA isoleucine (anticodon AAU)". It matches the Rfam family "tRNA". From Rfam's summary of the family: Transfer RNA (tRNA) molecules are approximately 80 nucleotides in length. Their secondary structure includes four short double-helical elements and three loops (D, anti-codon, and T loops). Lineage: Eukaryota; Metazoa; Arthropoda; Arachnida; Ixodida; Ixodidae. The record is from Rfam by way of RNAcentral.
GGCCUGCUAGCUCAGUCGGUUAGAGCGUCGUGCUAAUAACGCGAAGGUUCGUAGGUUCGAUCCCUGCGCUAGGCCA